AUGAACGCUGGCGGCGUGCCUAAUACAUGCAAGUCGAGCGAACGGACGAGAAGCUUGCUUCUCUGAUGUUAGCGGCGACGGGUGAGUAACACGUGGAUAACCUACCUAUAAGACUGGGAUAACUUCGGGAAACCGUAGCUAAUACCGGAUAAUAUUUUGAACCGCAUGGUUCAAAAGUGAAAGACGGUCUUGCUGUUACUUAUAGACGGAUCCGCGCUGCAUUAGCUAGUUGGUAAGGUAACGGCUUACCAAGGCAACGAUGCAUAGCCGACCUGAGAGGGUGAUCGGCCACACUGGAACUGAGACACGGUCCAGACUCCUACGGGAGGCAGCAGUAGGGAAUCUUCCGCAAUGGGCGAAAGCCUGACGGAGCAACGCCGCGUGAGUGAUGAAGGUCUUCGGAUCGUAAAACUCUGUUAUUAGGGAAGAACAUAUGUGUAAGUAACUGUGCACAUCUUGACGGUACCUAAUCAGAAAGCCACGGCUAACUACGUG
Molecule: ribosomal RNA, 495 nt
Filed under: uncultured bacterium
Lineage: Bacteria
Description: partial 16S ribosomal RNA
Rfam family: Bacterial small subunit ribosomal RNA
Source: RNAcentral